CUCCGGUGAUCCCUGCCGGACCCGACUGCUAUCAGAGUGGGACUAAGCCAUGCGAGUCAACAUAGCAAUAUGUGGCAUACGGCUCAGUAACACGUAGUCAACAUGCCCAGGGGACGUGGAUAACCUCGGGAAACUGAGGAUAAACCGCGAUAAGUCACUACUUCUGGAAUGGGUAAUGACUCAAAUCUAUAUGGCCCCUGGAUUGGACUGCGGCCGAUCAGGCUGUUGGUGAGGUAAUGGCCCACCAAACCUGUAACCGGUACGGGCUCUGAGAGGAGGAGCCCGGAGAUGGGCACUGAGACAAGGGCCCAGGCCCUAUGGGGCGCAGCAGGCGCGAAACCUCUGCAAUAGGCGAAAGCUUGACAGGGUUACUCUGAGUGAUUUCCGUUAAGGAAAUCUUUUGGCACCUCUAAAAAUGGUGCAGAAUAAGGGGUGGGCAAGUCUGGUGUCAGCCGCCGCGGUAAUACCAGCACCCCGAGUGGUCGGGACGUUUAUUGGGCCUAAAGCAUCCGUAGCCGGUUCUACAAGUCUUCCGUUAAAUCCAACUGCUUAACAGGUGGGCUGCGGAAGAUACUAUAGAGCUAGGAGGCGGGAGAGGCAAGCGGUACUCGAUGGGUAGGGGUAAAAUCCGUUGAUCCAUUGAAGACCACCAGUGGCGAAGGCGGCUUGCCAGAACGCGCUCGACGGUGAGGGAUGAAAGCUGGGGGAGCAAACCGGAUUAGAUACCCGGGUAGUCCCAGCUGUAAACGAUGCAGACUCGGUGAUGAGUUGGCUAUAUGCCAUCUCAGUGCCGCAGGGAAGCCGUUAAGUUUGCCGCCUGGGGAGUACGGUCGCAAGACUGAAACUUAAAGGAAUUGGCGGGGGAGCA
This 868-nucleotide ribosomal RNA is filed under the name uncultured archaeon. Its description in RNAcentral is "bacterial SSU rRNA". It matches the Rfam family "Archaeal small subunit ribosomal RNA", at positions 1 to 878 of the family's 1478-position model. The record is from RNAcentral.